This 98-nucleotide transfer RNA is filed under the name Desulfuromonadales bacterium. RNAcentral describes it as "tRNA-Sec". It matches the Rfam family "Selenocysteine transfer RNA". Lineage: Bacteria; Pseudomonadati; Thermodesulfobacteriota; Desulfuromonadia; Desulfuromonadales. The record is from RNAcentral.
GGAAGUACAACCGUCGCUGGUGGGCGGCUCAGUCUUCAAAACUGAUGAGGGGGGUGAGAAACUUCCCUGGUGGGUUCGAUUCCCAUGUGCUUCCGCCA